RNAcentral lists this ribosomal RNA (186 nucleotides) under uncultured bacterium. RNAcentral describes it as "partial 16S ribosomal RNA". It matches the Rfam family "Bacterial small subunit ribosomal RNA", at positions 338 to 516 of the family's 1533-position model. The record is from RNAcentral.
CCUACGGGGGGCAGCAGUGGGGAAUAUUGCACAAUGGGCGCAAGCCUGAUGCAGCCAUGCCGCGUGUAUGAAGAAGGCCUUCGGGUUGUAAAGUACUUUCAGCGGGGAGGAAGGCAGUCGUGUUAAUAGCACGAUUGAUUGACGUUACCCGCAGAAGAAGCACCGGCUAACUCCGUGCCAGCAGCC